AUGAACUGUUUUAUUUCACGCAAGCCGAACCCAAUACUCCGUUGCCCUGCACACUCAGGGAGAGUGCACCUGGUCUGCAAAAGAGGCAAAAACUCGGUUUCUUUGUUCAGCACGGACAGUGGAAGAUACCAUGUUAGAACAGAGAUAUGUCAUGGUGCAAACCAUCACCUGCCCUUCAGGCGAGCACUUCCUGCAGCACAGAAAGCUGUAGGCAGUGGUUAGAUGGGCAGCUUCGAGCUCCUCAGAGCCUGCCCUUUGCACAGUUACUGCUGGACACUGCCAACAGAGAGGUGCCUCUAGGAAAUGCCUCUGCCACAUACAGCAAGGCUCUGCAAUAAAGCAAGUCGCUAACUCCUGGCUGAAGAUGAG
RNAcentral lists this long non-coding RNA (369 nucleotides) under Anser brachyrhynchus (Pink-footed goose). Its description in RNAcentral is "lncRNA (ENSABRG00000011463.1)". Lineage: Eukaryota; Metazoa; Chordata; Aves; Anseriformes; Anatidae. The record is from RNAcentral.